RNAcentral lists this long non-coding RNA (8606 nucleotides) under Brachypodium distachyon (stiff brome). Its description in RNAcentral is "long non-coding RNA (BDIS_LNC002024)". Lineage: Eukaryota; Viridiplantae; Streptophyta; Magnoliopsida; Poales; Poaceae. The record is from RNAcentral.
UAAAAUUUUCACUUAUUAUUUUUAUACUUCUGUACUAAUGAUUUUCAUCAAUGGGCUAGAGCUUUUCAUCAAGAUAUAGCGCAAAACUGUUGAUUCAAUCUUUUUGUAGAUUAUGCAUCGACCGAACUGGAUGCAUGUUCAUUAUAUCUAAAUCAGGGUAUAACGCAAAUCUGUUACUUCCAUCUUUUUAUAGAUUACGCAUUGACCGAACUGGAUCUGUGUGCUCAUUUAGUAAUCGAAGACUCUUUAGAAAAACAAAUAUUGGUGAAGAUAGAUCAAGUAUAUGUCAAAUAGUGUGAUUUGAUGUGCCUGCUAGAUAGUGCCAAAUGGCUAACUGAUGAUGUAAAUACCUUUACUAACAAGAAAAAUGUUUAUGAUUAUUUUAGUAUUCAUCAACAAUAAAUAAUUUCAAAACUUUUUAGGUAAUCAGCGCAUAUAUAUAUACAUAUAUAUAUAUACAUACAUAUAUAUAUAUAUAAAUACAUGAGCAAAAUAAGAAUGACCAUAAAGUGUAUUUUGAGAAUACCUUUUUAGCCGGACUGUUAAAACGGGAUGGUGAGAUUGGAAUACAUGAAGCAACCUUUAUGACAAAGAUUGUCGGAAACUAUCUCAAGCAUGACAUGGUAACAUCUAGACCCAUAAUUGUAAGUUCUAUUAUUUUGAUGAGGACAUCCCAAGUAAUGAUACAACCACAACCCCUACAGCACGUACACCUCAAGUACCGGAGAUACAUGGACCAGUUACUAGAGGUCGUGCACGACAACUAAAUUAUCAGGUACUUUCGUUCCUCGGUACUUCAUUUAAUAUUAAUGAGAAUAUGCUGUUGCCUAAGAUGGGUUCUUUUAUGUGUUUUAGGAAUGAAGGACCUAGCUUGGACCUCAAGGAUCAGCGUUGGACAGCAAACCAUGGAGGUGGCAGCAAGGUGGCGGGAGUUAGCUCAAGUGUUGAUUUCAGAACAUUGAAACCGCCAUAAAGAGAUGAGAAAAAGGCCGCAUCCUCUUCAUCAAUGGGAUUUCGGCCAAGUGGAGGAUUCCCCCUCCAAUGGGUAUCUAUGGGCCAAAGAUGAGGGUUAUAACCUUCUUUUAUCGGGCCUAAGGCCAUGUAAUAGGGUCCAGCCAAUUUUUAGAUGUUUUCGUUGUGUUUUAGGAGGAUUCCUAGGCCGUUUCGGAGUCCCACAAGGGCCUGGCCGAAAACCACCUAGUUCCCCUCCUAUUUAUACCCCAUGAGCCCCCCUAUGGAGCCUUGGGUUUUGAUUAGAUAAAGUUUAGCCUUUGCUACUUUCGUGUAAUCGCGUGUGUCGGUUAGACCACCUGUUUUACCGUCAUCAAGACUCCAACUAUAUUGAGUAUUCAGAUUCAUGAACCUUCAUAUCUCCUAUUCGCAAUUUCAGAUUGCUUUUCAUCUUGUUCUUGCUUGUUCUUCGAUUGCUUGCAGGAACAAAGACCUUCGUGGUCAGGUUGAUCGUGCCCCCGCGGAAUCAAUAACCUUCUGGAGUUGGUGUAUCGAUCGCUAAGGCGCUGCCUCCUAGGUUGUAGUCGGAUCGUCAACGUCACCUCCUACCAAAUCGAUAAUUAGGUAUCUCAUCGAAAGAUCGGGACACCCUCGAGGCUAUCACGUGGUAUCAGAGCUUAAGGUUGCUCGGUGAGAUUUUUCCAGUUUAUCCGUAGUUUAGAUCUGUUUUUACCUAUCGUCCAGAAAAAGCCAAACAAAAAUUAGAAUUAGUUACCUUGUCCUAGAACCAAUCUGAGCCUUGCAAUUUUCACAUUAGUAUUUGCAUUGUUGAAUCUUUGCUGCAUUAAUCGUGUCGAGUUGCUGGAUUAGAUUGGAUCGUUUUUCAGAUUUUUUCUACUAGAUCGAACUUGCUUUUGGUUUUCUUGUUCUUCGUGUGACGCAGGUUUCCUUCAUCAAUCUUCCGCCGCCAAACUUCCUGCCACAUCACCGCCAUAAUCUUCCGCCGCCACCAUAUCUUCCACCGAGUCCCUCUUCGAGUCCUACACCGAGUCCUUCUUCCAGUCCUACAUCGAGUCCCUCUUCCAGUCCUACACCGAGUCCCUCUUCGAGUCCUACACCGAGUCCCUCGUCGAGUCCUACAUCGAGUCGGCAAGUUAUAGUUUUCAGCCGCGAGUUCGAGUCCGAGUCCAAUCAAGAGUGCUUUUGGAAAGUGUUUCAUAAUAUAUCGAAUUUUGUUUAGAGAUCAAGUUGUUCGGAAAGUUGUGAAAAAAAAAGAAGGGAAAGAAAAAAAAAAGGAAGAAAGAAAGAAAAAAAAAGGAAAAAAAAAGAGAAAGAGUUCGAGUCAAUUUCGGACCCGAGUCCGAGUAGAAUUUUAGUUUCAGGUGGGUUUGACCCGUGUUCAGUAAAACGGACGUAUCUUUUGCAUACCAACUCGGAUUUAGACAUUCUUGGACUUUUUGGAAAGCUCACGACAAAGCGCAUCAGGAAAUAUCCAGGGCAUAGCCCUGCACUUUGACCCUCAAAUUCUGCCUCUAAGGCGGACUUUUCGAGGUCCAAAGUUUCUGCACCCGUUUUACGGCACCGGGGCAGCGCAGUAUAUCUCAGUUUUCUCCACCGUCCGACCUCCGUUUCGAGUGAUCUUGCACUUGUUGGAAAGCUUGUUUUGAUACGCUUCUAACCCAUAUUUUCUCAUAUUUUUCUGAGUUUUCCUUACUACAGCCUUUGCUAUUCUCCUACAGACCGACGUGCAGCUUUCCGGUUUUAACUUCUUUUGCGUGAGUUUCUGGGGAUAAAAAAAAAGAAAAAAAAAUAGAAAAGAAUAAGAAUCCAAACAGAAGGCCACAAAAGAAAAAAAAAAGAAAAAAAAUAUUCCCCAGAGAUUUACUUGUUUUACCUUUGAUUUGAUCUUUCCUUUCUACCUUUUUCAGUAUCUAGGCUUAGUUAAUUUCUGUAAUUCGUUCUUGUCGACUCCAGCAACUAGGACUAGCAUUUUUGAGCAUAUUUUCAACUUUGCAUUGCUGAUUUGAUUAUUCGCUUUUCCUUGCUACUCACAUAAGCCUCCAAGCUCCACAGAUUCUACACCUAGGUUGGUUUGCCUCGAGGCAUCGAUACACUAAUCUUCGGAGGGCUUGUUCUCGCCGCUGGCCAUCACCUUCCUGUUUGCUGGGUAAGAACGAGUAAGAACUUGAUUAAAAGUUGAGUGGAGUGAUCUUUGGAACCCCACAUCCUAGUAGUGCAUAGGGACUUUUCCUUGUGAUUUGUUUCUUGUUUUCUCCUAACGAUGGCAGGUUCUGACGAUGAUUUACAAGGCCACUCUCCACGCACAAAGGGCAUUAUUUCACAUUUUGAUCGCAAGCUUAGGCUCCGUAACGAGGAACUGGAUGAGAACGUUCGGGUUGCGAAUGAGAGACUUGGAACCUUGGAGAGCGCGCACAUUGAAACAAAUACCAAGCUAACAUCUUUACAGAAUUCUGUUGCUACCAUUAGUACUUCUCUGGCAGAAAUCACGACGCAACUGGCGGCAAUUGCUGCAACGACCAUCGCUACACCGGGAGGAAACAAUACACACAACCAGCGGACCGCUAAUAACGGUACCUUCGCAAGCGAGGUUGAGGAGAACGACGACGACUACUCCGCGGAUACGGAACACGACGGGGCCGUAAACCAUCACAACGACCGUGAUCAUCGCCGAACUCGUUUCAACCGCCGAGGUAUGGGACCGACACGACCUCACAGAGAGGAACAUGACUUGCUGCAUUCUAUUAAACUUAAGGUUCCUCCUUUUGAUGGAAAAUAUGACCCUGAUGAAAAGAAUUAUGCGCGCUAGAUAUGUUCCUUCAUACUAUUCGCGUGACUUGUUAAAGAAACUACAACAAUUAAGGCAAGGUAGUAAUUCUGUCCAAGAUUAUUAUCAAGAAAUGCAAAAGAACAUGUUACGUUGUGGUUUAGUUGAGAAUGAGGAAGCUGCUAUGGCUAGAUUCUUUGGUGGUUUAAAUCGUGAAAUUGCUGACAUUGUUGAUUAUAAGGAGUAUAAUUCUAUCAAUCGAUUGUUUCACAUUGCUUGCAAAGCUGAAAGGGAAGUGCAGGGACGACACGCGAACGUGCGGACUAACUUUUCUGCAGGUCGUACUUCCUCAUGGGCAGCACGCAGCCCCGCUGCCCCUUCCACACGCCCAGCUGCACCCCCUACACGUCCGGCUGUUCCGACUACUUCCACCAACAAGCAAAGUACCUCUACACCUACAUCCGCAAAGGUUGGACCAGCAGCAACAAGAAAUACACCCGCUGCCUCUGCACAAAGUUCAGCAGCGUCCGUUGCUUCCACCGGACGGACCGGAGAUAACCAAUGUCGUAGGUGCAAAGGAUACGGGCAUUUUCAGCGGGACUGUCCAACCAAAUGCGUUAUGAUCAUACGUGAAGACGGAGUAUAUGAUUCAGCCAGUGAUUUUGACGAAGCUACCUAUGCUCUCAUUGCCGAUGAAGAGCAAGAAGACCCCGCUGCCCACCAUGACGAGGAGUUAAUGGGAGCUGAAGCCGCUGAUCAGUACUUGAGUUUGAUUGCACAACGCACCUUGAGCGUCCAAAUGAGCCACGCCGAACAAAAUCAGCGGCAUAACUUGUUCCAAACAAAAGGGGUCAUCAAGGAGCGCGCUGUUCGUAUCAUCAUAGAUGGGGGAAGUUGCAAUAAUUUGGCCAGCACGGAGAUGGUGGAAAAACUUGUUCUUACCACCAGGCCGCACCCCCACCCUUACUACGUUCAAUGGUUUAACAACAGCGGUAAGCUCAAGGUAACUAGAACAGUCCGUGCACACUUUACUAUUGGUACAUAUUCUGAUUUUGUGGAUUGUGAUGUGGUACCUAUGCAAGCAUGUUCUAUGUUACUCGGUUGUCCAUGGCAAUAUGAUACAGAUUCUGUUCAUCAUGGUAGAACUAAUCAUUAUUCUUUUAUGCAUGCUGGUAAGAAAAUUGGUUUGAAACCUAUGACUCCUGAACAAAUUGUGAAAGAUGAUCUUGCUAGAGCUAGUAGAGCAAAGAGCAAAGAGAAGGAUAAGAGUGAGAACCAUAAUGUCGCUAAAGAAUUUAAGCACCAAGCGUCUACUAGCAAAUCUGAACCGAAACAUGUUAAUGAAAUUAAAUUGAAAGGUGCAUGCUUGCUUGCAAGUAAAUCCGAUAUUUCUGAGUUAGAUACGAAUAAUUCUGUUUGCUAUGCAUUCAUUUGCAAAGAGGCUUUGUUUUCAUUUGAGGAUAUGCCUCCCUCUUUGCCCCCUGCUGUUUCUCACGUUUUGCAGGAGUAUUCCGACAUCUUUCCACAAGACGUACCACCAGGAUUACCACCUAUUCGAGGGAUUGAACAUCAAAUUGAUUUAAUUCCUGGUGCUUCGCUGCCCAACUGUGCGCCCUACCGUACCAAUCCAGAGGAGACGAAGGAGAUUCAACGACAAGUUCAAGAAUUGCUCGACAAAGGUUAUAUUCGUGAAUCCCUUAGUCCUUGUGCUGUUCCUGUUAUUUUGGUACCAAAGAAAGAUGGUUCUUGGCGUAUGUGUGUAGAUUGUAGAGCUAUUAAUAACAUUACUAUUCGCUAUCGUCACCCAAUUCCUAGACUUGAUGAUAUGUUAGAUGAAUUAAGUGGCUCUACCGUGUUCUCUAAAGUUGAUUUACGUAGUGGUUACCAUCAAAUUCGAAUGAAAUUAGGCGAUGAAUGGAAAACAGCAUUUAAAACUAAGUUUGGACUAUAUGAGUGGUUAGUCAUGCCUUUUGGUCUUACUAACGCACCUAGCACUUUCAUGCGGUUAAUGAACGAAGUUUUACGUGCUUUCAUAGGACGAUUUGUGGUGGUUUAUUUUGAUGAUAUAUUGAUUUACAGCAGCUCUUUAGAAGACCACUUGAAUCAUUUACGUGCUGUUUUUGAUGCUUUGAGAGAUGCACGUUUGUUUGGUAACCUUGAGAAGUGCACCUUUUGCACCGAUCGAGUUUCGUUUCUUGGCUAUGUUGUCACUCCACAGGGCAUAGAAGUUGAUAAGGCCAAGAUCGACGCUAUUCAAAGCUGGCCAACUCCAACAAUGGUCACCCAAGUGAUGAGCUUUCUUGGACUCGCUGGGUUUUAUCGCCGCUUUGUAAAGGAUUUCAGCACCCUUGCUGCACCGCUUAAUGAACUCACAAAGAAGGACGUUCCAUAUGUAUGGGGCGCUGCACAAGAAGAAGCUUUUCUCAUAUUGAAAGAUAAGUUGACACAAGCUCCUUUACUCCAACUUCCUGAUUUUAAUAAGACUUUUGAGUUGGAGUGUGAUGCUAGUGGAAUCGGUUUAGGAGGUGUGUUGUUACAAGAUGGAAAACCUGUUGCAUACUUUAGUGAAAAAUUGAGUGGGCCUAGUCUGAAUUAUUCUACUUAUGAUAAGGAAUUAUAUGCUCUCGUUCGGACUUUAGAAACAUGGCAACAUUAUUUAUGGCCCAAAGAAUUUGUUAUACAUUCUGAUCAUGAAUCUUUGAAGCAUAUUCGUAGUCAAGCAAAGCUGAACCGUCGUCAUGCUAAAUGGGUUGAAUUUAUUGAGUCUUUUCCGUAUGUUAUUAAACAUAAGAAGGGUAAAGAUAAUGUUAUUGCUGAUGCGUUAUCACGUCGUUAUACCUUGUUAUCUCAGCUUGAUUUUCGGAUAUUUGGAUUGGAGACUAUAAAAGAACAAUAUGAACAUGAUGCAGAUUUUAAGGAUGUUUUGCAGCAUUGUAAAGAGGGCAGAACAUGGAACAAGUUCGUCAUUAAUGAUGGAUUUGUGUUCCGUGCUAACAAGCUAUGCAUCCCAGAUAGCUCCGUUCGUCUUUUGUUGUUACAGGAGGCACAUGGAGGAGGGUUGAUGGGUCACUUCGGCAUGAAGAAGACCGAAGAUGUGCUCGCUGAGCAUUUCUUUUGGCCUCGGAUGAGACGGGAUGUUGAGAGAUUUAUCGCUCGCUGCACUACAUGUCAAAAAGCUAAGUCACGACUCAAUCCUCAUGGUUUAUAUAUGCCUCUCCCUGUUCCUAAUGUUCCUUGGGAAGAUAUAUCAAUGGAUUUUGUUUUGGGAUUGCCUCGAACUAAGAAGGGGAGGGAUAGCAUAUUUGUUAUUGUUGAUAGAUUUUCUAAGAUGGCACAUUUUAUACCUUGUCAUAAGAGCGAUGAUGCUACAAAUGUUGCUGAUUUAUUCUUUCGUGAAAUUGUUCGCUUGCAUGGUGUGCCCAAUACUAUAGUUUCAGAUCGUGACACAAAAUUUCUUAGCCACUUUUGGAGAUGUUUAUGGGCUAAGUUGGGGACUAAAUUGCUUUUUAGGACUACAUGUCAUCCCCAAACAGAUGGACAAACUGAAGUUGUUAAUAGAACAUUAUCUACUAUGCUUAGGGCUGUUUUAAAGAAGAACUUGAAAAUGUGGGAAGAAUGUUUACCUCAUAUUGAAUUUGCUUAUAAUCGUUCACUACAUUUAACCACAAAAUUGUGCCCUUUUGAAAUUGUUUAUGGUUUUAUACCUCGUGCACCAAUUGAUUUGUUACCUUUGCCAACUUCUGAAAAAGUUAACUUUGAUGCUAAGGAACGUGCUGAACUUAUAAUAAAAAUGCAUGAGACGACUAAAGAGAACAUUGAGCGCAUGAAUUCUAAGUAUAAACUUGCGGGAGAUAGGGGCAGAAAACAAAUUGUGUUUGAACCUGGAGAUCUUGUUUGGUUGCAUUUGCGCAAAGAUUGUUUCCCUGAUUUGCGCAAGUCUAAGUUAAUGCCACGAGCUGAUGGUCCCUUUAAGGUGUUAGCGAAAAUUAAUGAUAAUGCAUAUAAACUUGAGCUACCUGCAGAUUUUAGGGUUAGUCCCACGUUUAAUAUUGCAGAUUUGAAGCCUUAUUUGGGAGAAAAAGAUGAACUACCGUCGAGGACGAUUUCGAUUCAAGAAGGGGAGGAUGAUGAGGACAUCCCAAGUAAUGAUACAACCACAGCCCCUACAGCACGUACAUCUCAAGUACCGGAGAUACAUGGACCAAUUACUAGAGGUCGUGCACGACAACUAAAUUAUCAGGUACUUUCGUUCCUCGGUACUUCAUUUAAUAUUAAUGAGAAUAUGCUGCUGCCUAAGAUGGGUUCUUUUAUGUGUUUUAGGAAUGAAGGACCUAGCUUGGACCUCAAGGAUCAGCGUUGGACAGCAAACCAUGGAGGUGGCAACAAGGUGGCGGGAGUUAGCUCAAGUGUUGAUUUCAGAACAUUGAAACCGCCAUAAAGAGAUGAGAAGAAGGCCGCAUCCUCUUCAUCAAUGGGAUUUCGGCCAAGUGGAGGAUUCCCCCUCCGAUGGGUAUCUAUGGGCCAAAGAUGAGAGUUAUAACCUUAUUUGUUUGGGCCUAAGGCCAUGUAAUAGGGUCCAGCCAAUUUUUAGAUGUUUUCGUUGUGUUUUAGGAGGAUUCCUAGGCCGUUUCGGAGUCCCACAAGGGCCUGGCCGAAAACCACCUAGUUCCCCUCCUAUUUAUACCCCAUGAGCCCCCCUAUGGAGCCUUGGGUUUUGAUUAGAUAAAGUUUAGCUUUUGCUACUUUCGUGUAAUCGCGUGUGUCGGUUAGACCACCUGUUUUACCGUCAUCAAGACUCCAACUAUAUUGAGUAUUCAGAUUCAUGAACCUUCAUAUCUCCUAUUCGCAAUUUCAGAUUGCUUUUCAUCUU